RNAcentral lists this ribosomal RNA (560 nucleotides) under uncultured bacterium. RNAcentral's name for it is "bacterial SSU rRNA". It matches the Rfam family "Bacterial small subunit ribosomal RNA", at positions 9 to 526 of the family's 1533-position model. The record is from RNAcentral.
GAGUUUGAUCCUGGCUCAGGAUGAACGCUGGCGGCAUGCCUAAGACAUGCAAGUCGAACGAGAUGGCCCAGUGAAGGUUGAGUGCUUGCACGAGACUGAAUCUGGAUUCCCAUCUAGUGGCAGACGGGUGAGUAACACGUGGGUGACCUACCUUUUCGUUGGGGAUAACAGUUGGAAACGAUUGCUAAUACCGAAUAAAAUGUAAGAGUCAAUUUUACAUUGAAAGGAGCCUUUAAAGCUUCGCGAUUAGAUGGGCCUGCGGCGUAUUAACUAGUUGGCGAGGUAAUGGCUUACCAAGGUGACGAUGCGUAGCCGAACUGAGAGGUUGAUCGGCCACAUUGGGACUGAGACACGGCCCAAACUCCUACGGGAGACAGCAGUUAGGAAUAUUCGUCAAUGGAGGAAACUCUGAACGAGCAAUGCCGCGUGAGUGAUGAAGGUCUUAUAGAUUGUAAAACUCUGUUGUAUGGAAAAAACGGCUAGGUUAGGAAAUGAACUUAGUGUGAUGGUACCAUACCAGAAAGCCCCGGCUAACUACGUGCCAGCCGCCGCGGUAAUUC